This 244-nucleotide ribosomal RNA is filed under the name uncultured bacterium. RNAcentral's name for it is "partial 16S ribosomal RNA". It matches the Rfam family "Bacterial small subunit ribosomal RNA", at positions 524 to 765 of the family's 1533-position model. The record is from RNAcentral.
GACAGAGGGUGCAAACGUUGUUCGGAAUUACUGGGCGUAAAGCGCGUGUAGGCGGCUAAGUAAGUCGGGCGUGAAAUCCCACGGCUCAACCGUGGAAGUGCACUCGAAACUGCAUAGCUAGAGUCCUGGAGAGGAAGGUGGAAUGCUUGGUGUAGAGGUGAAAUUCGUAGAUAUCAAGCGGAACACCGGUGGCGAAGGCGGCCUUCUGGACAGUGACUGACGCUGAGACGGCGAAAAGCGUGGG